RNAcentral lists this ribosomal RNA (494 nucleotides) under uncultured bacterium. RNAcentral's name for it is "partial 16S ribosomal RNA". It matches the Rfam family "Bacterial small subunit ribosomal RNA", at positions 28 to 507 of the family's 1533-position model. The record is from RNAcentral.
GACGAACGCUGGCGGCGUGCUUAACACAUGCAAGUCGAACGGUGAAGCGCCUUCCUUUUUGGUGGGUGUGGAUGAGUGGCGAACGGGUGAGUAACACGUGAGUAGCCUGCCCCCUUCUUCUGGAUAACCGCAUGAAAGUGUGGCUAAUAUGGGAUAUUCUGGGUCUGUCGCAUGAUGGGUCUGGGAAAGAUAUUGUUUCGGUGGGGGAUGGGCUCGCGGCCUAUCAGCUUGUUGGUGGGGUGAUGGCCUACCAAGGCGGUGACGGGUAGCCGGCCUGAGAGGGUGGACGGUCACACUGGGACUGAGACACGGCCCAGACUCCUACGGGAGGCAGCAGUGGGGAAUAUUGCACAAUGGGCGCAAGCCUGAUGCAGCGACGCCGCGUGAGGGAUGGAGGCCUUCGGGUUGUGAACCUCUUUCGCCAGUGAAGCAGGCCUGCCUCGUUUGUGGGUGGGUUGACGGUAGCUGGAUAAGAAGCGCCGGCUAACUACGUG